AUUGAACGCUGGCGGCAUGCCUUACACAUGCAAGUCGAACGGCAGCACGGGUGCUUGCACCUGGUGGCGAGUGGCGAACGGGUGAGUAAUACAUCGGAACGUACCUUAUCGUGGGGGAUAACGCAGCGAAAGUUGCGCUAAUACCGCAUACGCCCUGAGGGGGAAAGCGGGGGACCGUAAGGCCUCGCGCGAUUAGAGCGGCCGAUGUCUGAUUAGCUUGUUGGUGAGGUAAAAGCUCACCAAGGCGAUGAUCAGUAGCUGGUCUGAGAGGACGAUCAGCCACACUGGGACUGAGACACGGCCCAGACUCCUACGGGAGGCAGCAGUGGGGAAUUUUGGACAAUGGGGGCAACCCUGAUCCAGCAAUGCCGCGUGAGUGAAGAAGGCCUUCGGGUUGUAAAGCUCUUUUGUCAGGGAAGAAACAGCAGCUCUAACACAGACUGCGAAUGACGGUACCUGAAGAAUAAGCACCGGCUAACUACGUGCCAGCAGCCGCGGUAAUACGUAGGGUGCGAGCGUUAAUCGGAAUUACUGGGCGUAAAGCGUGCGCAGGCGGUUAUACAAGACAGGCGUGAAAUCCCCGGGCUUAACCUGGGAAUGGCGUCUGUGACUGUAUAGCUAGAGUGUGUCAGAGGGGGGUGGAAUUCCACGUGUAGCAG
Molecule: ribosomal RNA, 659 nt
Filed under: uncultured bacterium
Lineage: Bacteria
Description: bacterial SSU rRNA
Rfam family: Bacterial small subunit ribosomal RNA
Source: RNAcentral